RNAcentral lists this transfer RNA (72 nucleotides) under Camelus bactrianus (Bactrian camel). It matches the Rfam family "tRNA". Rfam says of the family: Transfer RNA (tRNA) molecules are approximately 80 nucleotides in length. Their secondary structure includes four short double-helical elements and three loops (D, anti-codon, and T loops). RNAcentral also lists the same sequence under 2 other names. Lineage: Eukaryota; Metazoa; Chordata; Mammalia; Artiodactyla; Camelidae. The record is from Rfam by way of RNAcentral.
AUGGGCAUAGCUCAGUGGUAGAGCACAUGCUUAGCAUGCACAAGGUCCUGGAUUCAAUCCCUGGUAUCCUUA